This 469-nucleotide ribosomal RNA is filed under the name uncultured bacterium. Its description in RNAcentral is "partial 16S ribosomal RNA". It matches the Rfam family "Bacterial small subunit ribosomal RNA", at positions 28 to 508 of the family's 1533-position model. The record is from RNAcentral.
GACGAACGCUGGCGGCGUGCUUAACACAUGCAAGUCGAACGGAAAGGCCCUGCUUUUGUGGGGUGCUCGAGUGGCGAACGGGUGAGUAACACGUGAGUAACCUGCCCUUGACUUUGGGAUAACUUCAGGAAACUGGGGCUAAUACCGGAUAGGAGCUCCUGCUGCAUGGUGGGGGUUGGAAAGUUUCGGCGGUUGGGGAUGGACUCGCGGCUUAUCAGCUUGUUGGUGGGGUAGUGGCUUACCAAGGCUUUGACGGGUAGCCGGCCUGAGAGGGUGACCGGCCACAUUGGGACUGGGAUACGGCCCAGACUCCUACGGGAGGCAGCAGUGGGGAAUAUUGCACAAUGGGCGGAAGCCUGAUGCAGCAACGCCGCGUGCGGGAUGACGGCCUUCGGGUUGUAAGCCGCUUUCGCCUGUGACGAAGCGUGAGUGACGGUAAUGGGUAAAGAAGCACCGGCUAACUACGUGC